GACGAACGCUGGCGGCGUGCUUAACACAUGCAAGUCGAACGGAAAGGCCCUGCUUUUGUGGGGUGCUCGAGUGGCGAACGGGUGAGUAACAAGGGAGUAACCUGCCCUUGACUUUGGGAUAACUUCAGGAAACUGGGGCUAAUACCGGAUAGGAGCUCCUGCUGCAUGGUGGGGGUUGGAAAGUUUCGGCGGUUGGGGAUGGACUCGCGGCUUAUCAGCUUGUUGGUGGGGUAGUGGCUUACCAAGGCUUUGACGGGUAGCCGGCCUGAGAGGGUGACCGGCCACAUUGGGACUGAGAUACGGCCCAGACUCCUACGGGAGGCAGCAGUGGGGAAUAUUGCACAAUGGGCGGAAGCCUGAUGCAGCAACGCCGCGUGCGGGAUGACGGCCUUCGGGUUGUAAACCGCUUUCGCCUGUGACGAAGCGUGAGUGACGGUAAUGGGUAAAGAAGCACCGGCUAACUACGUG
Molecule: ribosomal RNA, 468 nt
Filed under: uncultured bacterium
Lineage: Bacteria
Description: partial 16S ribosomal RNA
Rfam family: Bacterial small subunit ribosomal RNA
Source: RNAcentral